UUGCACCCGAUAAGAGACUGACAUUUACUGCCCACACAACAGCCUGCUAGACCUGUUUAUAUGUUAAUUGUUUCUAGAGCUACUUUUUAAAAACACCAUAUUUGUAGGAGCAGAGAUACAGCUCACUGAGAUGGCCAUCCUCUCCUUCUACAGAAGUCGAUUUAAAGUUAAUCACUGAAAGAUUUGACUCAGUACUGAUUUGGAUGAAUCUUAAAUUGGAGGAAUUAAAGGAAAAUUUCCCAUAAGCUUUUGAGGCAUUAAUAGUGUCUUCAUAUGCCUUUAUGCCUGUAACACUAUACUAUGGUAGAACACAUAGGUCAAACACAAAAUAAUGACAUGUCCAAUAUAUUAGUGUCAAUAAACUAGGUCUGUCCAAAGUGACUAAAUGAUAUCCACCCUUUGAAAUAUACUUUUAACUUAUCUAUUUAUAUUAACAUGGCAUGUAGGAGUCCUGUUCAUUGGCCUGGACCCUGCUGUGGUAGGUUAUGUACCAACACAAAGUAAGUCUGUGCCACAAAGUAUAACACCAGAGACAACCAAUGGCUAAGAUGAAUGGGGGAGUACAAGGAAACAAGUAUUAGACUAAGCACUCCGCACACCAAUAGCCUACCCAUUGUCCAGAUUUGGUAGACAGGACAGCAAAGGAGAAUAACCACUUGAGGAAACUGCAGAGGUUAACAAGAUGCUUCUCUGAAGCCUAAAGGGUGGCAUAGCAGAAAGCAGGGAAAGAAGCUGACAACAUUAGCAUAUCAGAGGCAGAAGUCAAUGUCUCAGUGAAGACAUUGCACAAAAAGCAGACACUCAUUAAUUAUGCAAAAGAGGCAUGGCAAUAUUCCAUGCUUCACCUCAUUUGCAUAUUUCUUGCACAAAACAGUACAAUAUAGACAUAGCCUUAUAUAUCUCUUUACCACAGUGGGCAAACUGGUCUUUUAUGUGACUACUAAAAAAUUGCUUAUGUUGUGAUGUGAGGUUCAUACAUUCAGUGCAUACAGACUGAUACAGUUAAAGGGUGAACAUGGAAGCCCAGAGAAGAAUUUUGAACUACCUGAACAGGAUAGCUCAGUGCAUAAUUUAGAAUAUUGCCCCUCAGUCUCCAAGAAAGUUCAAUGGAAAUUAUGGAUCUGUUCCUUCCCCCACUUCCAUAAAAGGCACAGGAUUGGGCCCUGUGAAGACUAGCAUCCAGGGCUCUAAUUAGCAAGACUAUUAGAGCGGGUUCAUUUUGAGAAUGCUUCUGGGCAAGGAUUGUUUCUGCAGGGGUAAUCAAUAAGUACGAUUUUUGGUUUCCUUAAAUACUUUUUUCUUUUGAAAGAGAAAAGGUGGGUGAGACCAUAUCUUUUAUUGGAACAACUUCUGUUGGUGAGACACAAGCCUGAAUUCAUACAAGGCUCUUCUUUUGUUUCUAAGAAAGUUAUGCUAUAGAGUGGAAUAUUGAGAUUACAGCACAUAUAGAAAACACAAUGGACUUCAGUACAUAGUUGUGUAUGUUUUGCUUGAAAGGCUGAGUGCUUUACUUGAAAGAUACAAUCAAGCAGUCAAAAAUACAUUAUCCAGGGCAGCUGGUUGCCAACAGCUUUGUUUCAUUGACAUUUUUAAACCAAGACAAGAGGAGAAUGGGGAAUUCACAAGAGACGCAUCCCUGUGAUUAAUUUAAUAGACCACCUGAUGUCAGUAUUCCCCAGUGUAAAUGGCAUCAAUAGAAAUCAGUCAACAAGAGAAUAAGGGCCACUUCCCCUAUCAAAACUGAUCAGCCCUUAAAACACAAGAGACCUGGGUGUUCUGGUAUAACUUUUAUGCACCUUGUAACCCAACGUAAUCCACAGCUGUGAGUUAAGCACCUAGGAAGUACUGAUGAGAGGGGUCUUUCAAACUGCCCCGCAACAGGACAUAGGCACCUAAGCCCUGGCAAAAGGAAGGCAGUUAUCCUUGUGUGGGAUUCAAAACUCCCCUCUCUCUCUCCCCAAAGCAAAGGCCACUAAUGUUCCACCAGAGCACUGGAAUCAUUAACAAGGAGAGUAAAAUUAUGAACCUGAGUUGCAGAGUUUUCUUGGCAGCUGCACAACUCCAGAAUAUAUCCCUAUCACCAACUUCAGGAAGUUUGACCUAUUAGAACAAAAAAGGACAUUUAACAGGGGAAGAAACAACAUAAGAAGUUUUGGAUAAAGCAAAAAAGAUGUAUGAUUCAGUGAAAAGCCAUUCCAUGCAUAGAUUUGUGCGUUGUAAUUGUUUCAUACCACUGUAAAGACUGAAAGAGGAAUUCUGGGAGCUAAGUAGACCACUUCAAAUCUGCAGAUAUUUGCAGGUAUCCACAGCUGCAGCUCAUUUUUGCAGAUAUGAAUGUGGAUACCAGAUGCUAAUGAUUCACCUGGAAGGAAGCCAGGGGGCAGGGCCAGGGAUAUAAAAGGUCUGCCUGAAAGACCAGUGAGCUCCCAGCUAGUCAGAAGCCUGCUCAGCUGAACCCCAUGAGGAACCAGACCCGGUGGAAGCUGAUUGGCCUGGGCCGUGGGGCCCACUGCUGGAGGACUAUCUAGAAGGUUUGCGUAUCUGGCCGGAGGACUUCAACCCUCGCUACACUGAGGACCUGCCCAGGAGCCAGGUAUAUCUUGGGGGGCAGCGGGAGAAGAAAUGGACCUUGGUCAGUGGGCUGCAGUAUGGACCCCUGCUGGCCCAGCAACAAGAGUUUAUUACAUUUCAAAUGGAGGCAUGGACCACAUUGGAAAGCAUAGAAAUCGUCUGCAGCCCCCAGAGGAUCCACAGGCCAAGGGUUGAAAAUCACUGCAACUGAAAAACAAAGAAGUGGAGGUUUGCCGCAAGCCAUGCUUCUUCCCAUCUUUGAGACUUAAUGUUCCGAGUUCUGCUCCUGUAAAGACUUCAGAGUUAUAUUUGCCAAGUGUGCUCCCAUGCUGUUCAACUCAAAUAAUGCAUUUGCAAUGCAGAGUUUAGGAACUGUACAGCACCUGAAGAGCCAUUGACACUAGAGCAGCAUUUUCAAGUCCAUGGUUUUUUAUUUUCAACCAGUUAAUCAAGACUAAAAUUGCUGCACUGCUACAAAGCCCCAGGUGGAAGCCAAUGCCACUUUUUCAGGCAGUAUUUCAAGCCCUUCUGUCACUCUAUGUCCUCUUGUCUACCGUAUCCACCCUGAUGCAGAGAUUCUAAGUUGGGAACAAGUACUUGAAAUAAAAUAUUGACAAGAUUAAGAUUUGGCAGAUGGUAGAACUGUGUAUAAGGGACAAAUUCCACACAGAUUGGUUACAUUAAAAAGUUCACCUGAACAUCUGAGGUCCUCGCUCACCUAAAACAGUGGCUAGAUAAAUGGUAUGGAGACCUAUGAAUGUGGAUGUUAGUGAGGUGAGGAGAGGACUCUAAGGCUAUGUCUACACUGGCAGCUUCUUGUGCAAAAACUCUUCCACAAGAGAGC
This is a non-coding RNA of Pelodiscus sinensis (Chinese soft-shelled turtle), 3415 nucleotides long. The record is from RefSeq and is a predicted model, not a curated record. Lineage: Eukaryota; Metazoa; Chordata; Testudines; Trionychidae.